Arachis ipaensis is the source of this 696-nucleotide non-coding RNA. The record is from RefSeq and is a predicted model, not a curated record. Lineage: Eukaryota; Viridiplantae; Streptophyta; Magnoliopsida; Fabales; Fabaceae.
CUUUAAUGAAAUAGGGAUUUCUCCAAAGAUCGAGAUUUUGGUAGGGAAGCGAGCAGUAUUGGGGAUGUUCCUAUGAAAUCAAAAACUUCUAUAUUAUGCAGGGUCUAGAAGUUGUAACAAGGGUAACAAGGAUGAGUGUGUCACCUUGCGCGCCAAACAAAAACAAACACAAACUGCUCAAGAGAAAAGCUGACUACCAUGUGGAUUGGAAUCGGGAAUGUGAACGUGACCAUGAUCAUGAUCGUGACCAGAGGGACCACCGUGAUCGAGAAAGAGGCCAUCACCACCAUCGCCACCACCGGUCAGGAUCCUCUUCCCGGAUGUCAUCUGAACCACCAAAACCUCCUCAACUGCACCAUCAUCUGCAGCUGCAGACCGCAAACAGAUGGCCAGUGUUUUCUCCCGCAUAAGCUUCCCCGCUGAGGAAGAAAUGACCAAGGAGGAUCCGAGCUCCCAAGUUCAUGACACGCUUGCAAUACGAAGAGAUAUUACAGUUAGAACUUAGAAGCGAACCUCGCUCCCUGAUGUACUCUUUUUCCCGACUUCAUGGUUUUUUCCCAAAAAGGGUUUUCCUGAAGGGGGUUUUAACGAGGCAUCACAGCGAGGGCUAAGGGGCAGAAAUUUCAAUCCCUUAGUAGCAAGAGCACCCUUGUAAAGUCACAUUACAUUAGUAAUAAUAUUUCUCUUUAUAUCUCU